GAAGCACCGGCUAACUCCGUGCCAGCAGCCGCGGUAAUACGGAGGGUGCGAGCGUUUAAUCGGAAUUACUGGGGCGUAAAGCGCAUGCAGGUGGUUUGUUAAGUCAGAUGUGAAAGCCCGGGGCUCAACCUCGGAAUUGCAUUUUGAAACUGGCAAACUAGAGUACUGUAGAGGGGGGUAGAAUUUCAGGUGUAGCGGUGAAAUGCGUAGAGAUCUGAAGGAAUACCGGUGGCGAAGGCGGCCCCCCUGGACAGAUACUGACACUCAGAUGCGAAAGCGUGGGGGAGCAAACAGGAUUACAUACCCUGGUAG
RNAcentral lists this ribosomal RNA (312 nucleotides) under uncultured bacterium. Its description in RNAcentral is "bacterial SSU rRNA". It matches the Rfam family "Bacterial small subunit ribosomal RNA", at positions 487 to 793 of the family's 1533-position model. The record is from RNAcentral.